RNAcentral lists this ribosomal RNA (406 nucleotides) under uncultured bacterium. Its description in RNAcentral is "partial 16S ribosomal RNA". It matches the Rfam family "Bacterial small subunit ribosomal RNA", at positions 30 to 526 of the family's 1533-position model. The record is from RNAcentral.
AUUGAACGCUGGCGGCAGGCCUAACACAUGCAAGUCGGGCGAGCGGAGGACGGGUGAGUAAUGUAUGGGGAUCUGCCUGAUGGCGGGGGAUAACUACUGGAAACGGUAGUUAAUACCGCAUACCAUCAGAUGAACCCAUAUGGGAUUAGCUAGUAGGUAAGGUAACGGGUUACCUAGGCGACGAUCCCUAGCUGGUCUGAGAGGGUGGUCAGCCACACUGGGACGGAGACACGGCCAAGACUACUACGGGAGGCAGCAGUGGGGAAUGUUGCACAAUAGGCGCGAACCUGGUGCAGCCAGGCCACGUGUAUGAAGAAGGCCUUCGGGUUGGAAAGUACUUUCAGGCGUGAUGCGUUACCGACAGAAGAAGCACCGGCUAACUCCGUGCCAGCAGCCGCGGUAAUUC